GAUGAACGCUGGCGGCGUGCCUAAUACAUGCAAGUAGAACGCCGAAGGAGGAGCUUGCUCUUCUGGAUGAGUUGCGAACGGGUGAGUAACGCGUAGGUAACCUGCCUGGUAGCGGGGGAUAACUAUUGGAAACGAUAGCUAAUACCGCAUGACAACAGUUAUUGCAUGAUAACUGUUUAAAAGGGGCAACUGCUCCACUACCAGAUGGACCUGCGUUGUAUUAGCUAGUUGGUGAGGUAACGGCUCACCAAGGCGACGAUACAUAGCCGACCUGAGAGGGGGAUCGGCCACACUGGGACUGAGACACGGCCCAGACUCCUACGGGAGGCAGCAGUAGGGAAUCUUCGGCAAUGGACGGAAGUCUGACCGAGCAACGCCGCGUGAGUGAAGAAGGUUUUCGGAUCGUAAAGCUCUGUUGUAAGAGAAGAACGAGUGUGAGAGUGGAAAGUUCACACUGUGACGGUAUCUUACCAGAAAGGGACGGCUAACUACGUG
Molecule: ribosomal RNA, 495 nt
Filed under: uncultured bacterium
Lineage: Bacteria
Description: partial 16S ribosomal RNA
Rfam family: Bacterial small subunit ribosomal RNA
Source: RNAcentral